RNAcentral lists this transfer RNA (67 nucleotides) under Aeromonas salmonicida subsp. salmonicida. Its description in RNAcentral is "tRNA-Glu". It matches the Rfam family "tRNA", at positions 9 to 71 of the family's 71-position model. From Rfam's summary of the family: Transfer RNA (tRNA) molecules are approximately 80 nucleotides in length. Their secondary structure includes four short double-helical elements and three loops (D, anti-codon, and T loops). The record is from RNAcentral. Lineage: Bacteria; Pseudomonadati; Pseudomonadota; Gammaproteobacteria; Aeromonadales; Aeromonadaceae.
GGUCCCCGGCCUAGGACACCGCCCUUUCACGGCGGUAACAGGGGUUCGAAUCCCCUAGGGGACGCCA